RNAcentral lists this long non-coding RNA (1587 nucleotides) under Solanum tuberosum (potato). RNAcentral describes it as "long non-coding RNA (STUB_LNC011847)". Lineage: Eukaryota; Viridiplantae; Streptophyta; Magnoliopsida; Solanales; Solanaceae. The record is from RNAcentral.
UAGUACAUUAGAGCUGUGUGAAGACAAUAAAACACCAGUGCCAGGAGAACCUUUGAUGUACCUAACCAACCUUAGUGCAGCCUCCAUGUGUGAAGUCUUAGGUGAAUGCAUAAAUUGGCUCAAACAUUGCACAGCAAAUGCAAUAUCAGGUCUGGUAUUAGUCAAGUACAAAAGCCUGCCAAGAAGUCUUUGAUAGGCACCAAUGUCAUCUACAGGUAAGUCUCAUGUAAGCCCAGUGUGAUUAUCAAACUCAGUAGUGGUGAAUUUCAUAUUGAACUCCAACGGAGUACCUACUGGUUUGGCCCCUGCAAGUCCUAGAUCAGAGAUAAGCUCAAGGGCAUAUUUUCGUUGAUGCAUAACAAUCCCCUCCUUGCUUCUGGCAAACUCAAUGCCAAGAAAAUAUCUGAGACAACCAAGAUCCUUGAUCUUAAAACUGGAAUGCAGGCUAGCUUUAGUAUCCUCUAUCAUAGCUAAAUCAUCACCAGUGAUGAGAAGAUCAUCAACAUACACCAGAAUAACAACCAUUUUUCCAUGUGAAUGUCUGAUGAACAAAGAGUAGUCCAGGUGACUUUUAGUGAACCCAAAAGAAAGUAAAGCAGUAGUGAGUUUUAAAUUCCAUUGCCUGGAAGCUUGUUUAAGGCCAUAGAGUGACUUAAGUAAUCUGCAAACUUGUUGAGAUUUACCCUGAUCAGAAAAACCUUGUGGCAUGGUCAUAUAGAUUUCUUCUUCAAGAUCGCCUUGUAAGAAAGCAUUAAAGACAUCCAUUUGAUGAAUAUCCCAAUUCUUAGAUGCUGCUAUAGCUAAAACUGCUCUGACAGUGACCAUCUUCACAACUGGAGAAAAUGUUUCUUGAUAGUCCAGACCCUCUUGUUGGUUAUACCCCUUAGCCACCAACCUAGCCUUGAAUCUAUCUAUCUCUCCUGAGGCUGUGUAUUUAAUUUUAUAGACCCAUUUACAGCCAAUAGCUCUCUAGUCAACACAUCUGCUAGUUGUUCAGAGGAAGGAAGGUGUAGCAGAUGCACAAGUCCUUGUUGAAUUCUUUCUCUGAUAAAGUGACAAUCCAAAUCAAUGUGCUUGGUCCUUUCAUGGAAUACUGGAUUUAAAGCUAUCUGAAUAGCUGACUUACUGUCACUGUGAAGUGGGAUAGGUAGUUGUAGAUCAACAGCCAAUUCUUUGAACAACCUGGUAAGCCAAACAAUCUCUGCUACUGUUGAAGCUAAGCUCCUGUACUCUGCUUCAGCAGAACUCCUUGAAACUGUCAGUUGCUUUUUUGACUUCCAUGAAAUAAGAGAAGAGCCAAACUUCACUAUGUAUCCAGUGACAGAUCUCCUGGUAUUUGGGCAUGCUGCCCAGUCAGCAUCACAAUAGGCAGCUAGUACAUUAGAGCUGUGUGAAGACAAUAAAACACCAGUGCCAGGAGAACCUUUGAUGUACCUAACCAACCUUAGUGCAGCCUCCAUGUGUGAAGUCUUAGGUGAAUGCAUAAAUUGGCUCAAACAUUGCACAGCAAAUGCAAUAUCAGGUCUGGUAUUAGUCAAGUACAAAAGCCUGCCAAGAAGUCUUUGAUAGGCACCAAUGUCAUCUACA